CCCUUUGGGUGUGACUGCGUACCUUUUGUAUAAUGGGUCAGCGACUUAUAUUCUGUAGCAAGGUUAACCGAAUAGGGGAGCCGGAGGGAAACCGAGUCUUAACCGGGCGUUAAGUUGCAGGGUAUAGACCCGAAACCCGGUGAUCUAGCCAUGGGCAGGUUGAAGGUUGGGUAACACUAACUGGAGGACCGAACCGACUAAUGUUGAAAAAUUAGCGGAUGACCUGUGGCUGGGGGUGAAAGGCCAAUCAAACCGGGAGAUAGCUGGUUCUCCCCGAAAGCUAUUUAGGUAGCGCCUCGUGAAUUCAUCUCCGGGGGUAGAGCACUGUUUCGGCUAGGGGGCCAUCCCGGCUUACCAACCCGAUGCAAACUGCGAAUACCGGAGAAUGUUAUCACGGGAGACACACGGCGGGUGCUAACGUCCGUCGUGAAGAGGGAAACAACCCAGACCGCCAGCUAAGGUCCCAAAGUCAUGGUUAAGUGGGAAACGAUGUGGGAAGGCCCAGACAGCCAGGAUGUUGGCUUAGAAGCAGCCAUCAUUUAAAGAAAGCGUAAUAGCUCACUGGUCGAGUCGGCCUGCGCGGAAGAUGUAACGGGGCUAAACCAUGCACCGAAGCUGCGGCAGC
RNAcentral lists this ribosomal RNA (625 nucleotides) under Salmonella enterica. Its description in RNAcentral is "partial 23S ribosomal RNA". It matches the Rfam family "Bacterial large subunit ribosomal RNA", at positions 582 to 1209 of the family's 2925-position model. RNAcentral also lists the same sequence under 1 other name. Lineage: Bacteria; Pseudomonadati; Pseudomonadota; Gammaproteobacteria; Enterobacterales; Enterobacteriaceae. The record is from RNAcentral.